UACAGAGGGGGCAAGCGUUGUUCGGAAUUACUGGGCGUAAAGGGCGCGUAGGCGGCCCGCUAAGUCGAACGUGAAAUCCCCGGGCUCAACCCGGGAACUGCGUCCGAUACUGGCAGGCUUGAAUCCGGGAGAGGGAUGCGGAAUUCCAGGUGUAGCGGUGAAAUGCGCAGAUAUCGGGAGGAACACCUAUGGCGAAGGCAGCUCGCUGGGACGUUACUGACGCUGAGACGCGAAAGCGUGGGGAGCAAACAGG
This 253-nucleotide ribosomal RNA is filed under the name uncultured bacterium. RNAcentral's name for it is "partial 16S ribosomal RNA". It matches the Rfam family "Bacterial small subunit ribosomal RNA", at positions 524 to 776 of the family's 1533-position model. The record is from RNAcentral.